RNAcentral lists this ribosomal RNA (2821 nucleotides) under Escherichia coli. Its description in RNAcentral is "bacterial LSU rRNA". It matches the Rfam family "Bacterial large subunit ribosomal RNA". Lineage: Bacteria; Pseudomonadati; Pseudomonadota; Gammaproteobacteria; Enterobacterales; Enterobacteriaceae. The record is from RNAcentral.
GGUGAUAUGAACCGUUAUAACCGGCGAUUUCCGAAUGGGGAAACCCAGUGUGUUUCGACACACUAUCAUUAACUGAAUCCAUAGGUUAAUGAGGCGAACCGGGGGAACUGAAACAUCUAAGUACCCCGAGGAAAAGAAAUCAACCGAGAUUCCCCCAGUAGCGGCGAGCGAACGGGGAGCAGCCCAGAGCCUGAAUCAGUGUGUGUGUUAGUGGAAGCGUCUGGAAAGGCGCGCGAUACAGGGUGACAGCCCCGUACACAAAAAUGCACAUACUGUGAGCUCGAUGAGUAGGGCGGGACACGUGGUAUCCUGUCUGAAUAUGGGGGGACCAUCCUCCAAGGCUAAAUACUCCUGACUGACCGAUAGUGAACCAGUACCGUGAGGGAAAGGCGAAAAGAACCCCGGCGAGGGGAGUGAAAAAGAACCUGAAACCGUGUACGUACAAGCAGUGGGAGCCUCUUAAUGGGGUGACUGCGUACCUUUUGUAUAAUGGGUCAGCGACUUAUAUUCUGUAGCAAGGUUAACCGAAUAGGGGAGCCGAAGGGAAACCGAGUCUUAACUGGGCGUUAAGUUGCAGGGUAUAGACCCGAAACCCGGUGAUCUAGCCAUGGGCAGGUUGAAGGUUGGGUAACACUAACUGGAGGACCGAACCGACUAAUGUUGAAAAAUUAGCGGAUGACUUGUGGCUGGGGGUGAAAGGCCAAUCAAACCGGGAGAUAGCUGGUUCUCCCCGAAAGCUAUUUAGGUAGCGCCUCGUGAAUUCAUCUCCGGGGGUAGAGCACUGUUUCGGCAAGGGGGUCAUCCCGACUUACCAACCCGAUGCAAACUGCGAAUACCGGAGAAUGUUAUCACGGGAGACACACGGCGGGUGCUAACGUCCGUCGUGAAGAGGGAAACAACCCAGACCGCCAGCUAAGGUCCCAAAGUCAUGGUUAAGUGGGAAACGAUGUGGGAAGGCCCAGACAGCCAGGAUGUUGGCUUAGAAGCAGCCAUCAUUUAAAGAAAGCGUAAUAGCUCACUGGUCGAGUCGGCCUGCGCGGAAGAUGUAACGGGGCUAAACCAUGCACCGAAGCUGCGGCAGCGACGUUUAUGCGUUGUUGGGUAGGGGAGCGUUCUGUAAGCCUGCGAAGGUGUACUGUGAGGUAUGCUGGAGGUAUCAGAAGUGCGAAUGCUGACAUAAGUAACGAUAAAGCGGGUGAAAAGCCCGCUCGCCGGAAGACCAAGGGUUCCUGUCCAACGUUAAUCGGGGCAGGGUGAGUCGACCCCUAAGGCGAGGCCGAAAGGCGUAGUCGAUGGGAAACAGGUUAAUAUUCCUGUACUUGGUGUUACUGCGAAGGGGGGACGGAGAAGGCUAUGUUGGCCGGGCGACGGUUGUCCCGGUUUAAGCGUGUAGGCUGGUUUUCCAGGCAAAUCCGGAAAAUCAAGGCUGAGGCGUGAUGACGAGGCACUACGGUGCUGAAGCAACAAAUGCCCUGCUUCCAGGAAAAGCCUCUAAGCAUCAGGUAACAUCAAAUCGUACCCCAAACCGACACAGGUGGUCAGGUAGAGAAUACCAAGGCGCUUGAGAGAACUCGGGUGAAGGAACUAGGCAAAAUGGUGCCGUAACUUCGGGAGAAGGCACGCUGAUAUGUAGGUGAAGUCCCUCGCGGAUGGAGCUGAAAUCAGUCGAAGAUACCAGCUGGCUGCAACUGUUUAUUAAAAACACAGCACUGUGCAAACACGAAAGUGGACGUAUACGGUGUGACGCCUGCCCGGUGCCGGAAGGUUAAUUGAUGGGGUUAGCGGUAACGCGAAGCUCUUGAUCGAAGCCCCGGUAAACGGCGGCCGUAACUAUAACGGUCCUAAGGUAGCGAAAUUCCUUGUCGGGUAAGUUCCGACCUGCACGAAUGGCGUAAUGAUGGCCAGGCUGUCUCCACCCGAGACUCAGUGAAAUUGAACUCGCUGUGAAGAUGCAGUGUACCCGCGGCAAGACGGAAAGACCCCGUGAACCUUUACUAUAGCUUGACACUGAACAUUGAGCCUUGAUGUGUAGGAUAGGUGGGAGGCUUUGAAGUGUGGACGCCAGUCUGCAUGGAGCCGGCCUUGAAAUACCACCCUUUAAUGUUUGAUGUUCUAACGUUGGCCCCUGAUCGGGGUUGCGGACAGUGUCUGGUGGGUAGUUUGACUGGGGCGGUCUCCUCCUAAAGAGUAACGGAGGAGCACGAAGGUUGGCUAAUCCUGGUCGGACAUCAGGAGGUUAGUGCAAUGGCAUAAGCCAGCUUGACUGCGAGCGUGACGGCGCGAGCAGGUGCGAAAGCAGGUCAUAGUGAUCCGGUGGUUCUGAAUGGAAGGGCCAUCGCUCAACGGAUAAAAGGUACUCCGGGGAUAACAGGCUGAUACCGCCCAAGAGUUCAUAUCGACGGCGGUGUUUGGCACCUCGAUGUCGGCUCAUCACAUCCUGGGGCUGAAGUAGGUCCCAAGGGUAUGGCUGUUCGCCAUUUAAAGUGGUACGCGAGCUGGGUUUAGAACGUCGUGAGACAGUUCGGUCCCUAUCUGCCGUGGGCGCUGGAGAACUGAGGGGGGCUGCUCCUAGUACGAGAGGACCGGAGUGGACGCAUCACUGGUGUUCGGGUUGUCAUGCCAAUGGCACUGCCCGGUAGCUAAAUGCGGAAGAGAUAAGUGCUGAAAGCAUCUAAGCACGAAACUUGCCCCGAGAUGAGUUCUCCCUGACUCCUUGAGAGUCCUGAAGGAACGUUGAAGACGACGACGUUGAUAGGCCGGGUGUGUAAGCGCAGCGAUGCGUUGAGCUAACCGGUACUAAUGAACCGUGAGGCUUAACCUU